Molecule: ribosomal RNA, 516 nt
Filed under: Triticum aestivum (bread wheat)
Lineage: Eukaryota; Viridiplantae; Streptophyta; Magnoliopsida; Poales; Poaceae
Description: partial small subunit ribosomal RNA
Source: RNAcentral
AUGGAUCGGAGGAGGAUCACGGUGCUCCUGGUGGAGGACGAGGAGAUCCACAGGGUUGUGGCGAGAGCGGUGCUGAGGGCGGCCGGCGUGGAGGCCGACGAGGCGGAGAACGGGGCGGAGGCGGUGCGGCGCGUGCGGGGGCGCGUCGGAGGCGGCGGCGCCGGCGCGUAUGACCUCAUCCUCACGGACAAGCAGAUGCCGGUCAUGGAUGGCCGCGAGGCGACGAGGCAGAUCCGGGCGAUGGGGGUGACCACGCCGAUCGUCGCCGUGUCCAGCGACAACCUCCCGUCAGACGUCCAGGCCUUCAUCGCCGCCGGCGCCGACGACUUCACGCCCAAGGUGACGAUCCAUCCAAUCCACCGGAUCAAUCGUGUUUUGCUCCUGAUGUGCGUACCGAACGCCCAUGACUCUCGCUCUGACCGUUUGCUGAUGCACGCACACGCACCCAUCCCAUGCAUGCAGCCGCUGACCAAGGAGAAGCUGGGCCACAUUCUCUCCAAGUUCGGGCUUGCGUAG